GACGAACGCUGGCGGCGUGCCUAAUACAUGCAAGUCGAGCGCAGGAAGCUGACGGAACUCUUCGGAGAGAAGGCAGUGGAAUGAGCGGCGGACGGGUGAGUAACACGUAAGGAACCUGCCUCAAGGAUUGGGAUAACUCCGAGAAAUCGGAGCUAAUACCGGAUAGUUCAACGGACCGCAUGGUCCGCUGAUGAAAGGCGCUUCGGCGUCACCUUGAGAUGGCCUUGCGGUGCAUUAGCUAGUUGGUGGGGUAACGGGCCACCAAGGCGACGAUGCAUAGCCGACCUGAGAGGGUGAUCGGCCACACUGGGACUGAGACACGGCCCAGACUCCUACGGGAGGCAGCAGUAGGGAAUCUUCCACAAUGGACGAAAGUCUGAUGGAGCAACGCCGCGUGAGUGAUGAAGGUUUUCGGAUCGUAAGACUCUGUUGUAAGGGAAGAACACGUACGAGAGGGAAUGCUCGUACCUUGACGGUACCUUACGAGAAAGCCACGGCUAACUACGUGCCAGCAGCCGCCGCGG
Molecule: ribosomal RNA, 524 nt
Filed under: uncultured bacterium
Lineage: Bacteria
Description: partial 16S ribosomal RNA
Rfam family: Bacterial small subunit ribosomal RNA
Source: RNAcentral